CAGCCGCCGCGGGAAAACAGAGGGUGCAAGCGUUAAUCGGAAUUACUGGGCGUAAAGCGCGCGUAGGUGGUUUGUUAAGUUGGAUGUGAAAUCCCCGGGCUCAACCUGGGAACUGCAUCCAAAACUGGCAAGCUAGAGUAUGGUAGAGGGUGGUGGAAUUUCCUGUGUAGCGGUGAAAUGCGUAGAUAUAGGAAGGAACACCAGUGGCGAAGGCGACCACCUGGACUGAUACUGACACUGAGGUGCGAAAGCGUGGGGAGCAAACAGGAUUAGAUACCCCAGUAGUCCCUGUCUCUUAUAU
This 301-nucleotide ribosomal RNA is filed under the name uncultured bacterium. Its description in RNAcentral is "partial 16S ribosomal RNA". It matches the Rfam family "Bacterial small subunit ribosomal RNA", at positions 509 to 809 of the family's 1533-position model. The record is from RNAcentral.